UGGCGAACGGGUGCGUAACACGUGAGGAACCUGUCCCCGACACCGGAAUAACAGUUGGAAACGACUGCUAAUACCGGAUACCACCGGUGAGUCGCAUGGCUCGCCGAUGAAAGUUCAGGCGGUUGGGGAGGGCCUCGCGGCCUAUCAGCUUGUUGGAGAGGUAACGGCUCACCAAGGCAUCGACGGGUAGCUGGUCUGAGAGGAUGAUCAGCCACACUGGGACUGAGACACGGCCCAGACUCCUACGGGAGGCAGCAGUAGGGAAUCUUGCACAAUGGGCGAAAGCCUGAUGCAGCAACGCCGCGUGCGGGAAGAAGGCCCUAGGGUUGUAAACCGCUUUCAGCAGGGAAGAAACUGACGGUACCUGCAGAAGAAGAUGCGGCCAACUACGUGCCAGCAGCCGCGGUAAC
RNAcentral lists this ribosomal RNA (410 nucleotides) under uncultured bacterium. RNAcentral describes it as "bacterial SSU rRNA". It matches the Rfam family "Bacterial small subunit ribosomal RNA", at positions 96 to 524 of the family's 1533-position model. The record is from RNAcentral.